GACGAACGCUGGCGGCGUGCCUAACACAUGCAAGUCGAACGGGGUUGAGUGCUUCGGUAUUCAACUUAGUGGCGAACGGGUGAGUAACGCGUGAAGAACCUGCCUUCCAGUGGGGGACAACAGUUGGAAACGACUGCUAAUACCGCAUGACACUUUCGAAGGGCAUCCUUUGAAAGUCAAAGCUUUAUGUGCUGGAAGAUGGCUUCGCGUCUGAUUAGCUAGUUGGCGGGGUAACGGCCCACCAAGGCGACGAUCAGUAGCCGGUCUGAGAGGAUGAACGGCCACAUUGGGACUGAGAUACGGCCCAGACUCCUACGGGAGGCAGCAGUGGGGAAUAUUGGGCAAUGGGGGGAAACCCUGACCCAGCAACGCCGCGUGAAGGAAGAAGGCCUUCGGGUUGUAAACUUCUUUUACCUAGGGACGAAGGACGUGACGGUACCUGGAGAAAAAGACAACGGCGUAACUACGUAG
This 471-nucleotide ribosomal RNA is filed under the name uncultured bacterium. Its description in RNAcentral is "bacterial SSU rRNA". It matches the Rfam family "Bacterial small subunit ribosomal RNA", at positions 28 to 508 of the family's 1533-position model. The record is from RNAcentral.